Molecule: ribosomal RNA, 253 nt
Filed under: uncultured bacterium
Lineage: Bacteria
Description: partial 16S ribosomal RNA
Rfam family: Bacterial small subunit ribosomal RNA
Source: RNAcentral
UACGAAGGGUGCAAGCGUUAUUCGGAAUUACUGGGCGUAAAGCGUGCGUAGGCGGUUUGUUAAGUCUGAUGUGAAAGCCCCGGGCUCAACCUGGGAAUGGCAAUGGAUACUGGCAAGCUAGAGUGCGGUAGAGGGUAGUGGAAUUCCCGGUGUAGCGGUGAAAUGCGUAGAGAUCGGGAGGAACACCAGUGGCGAAGGCGGCUACCUGGACCAGAACUGACACUGAGGCACGAAAGCGUGGGGAGCAAACAGG